RNAcentral lists this long non-coding RNA (1036 nucleotides) under Ananas comosus (pineapple). Its description in RNAcentral is "long non-coding RNA (ACOM_LNC021608)". The record is from RNAcentral. Lineage: Eukaryota; Viridiplantae; Streptophyta; Magnoliopsida; Poales; Bromeliaceae.
UUGAUUGUGACCCCACCCACUUAUUUAUUUUAAUAUUUUUUUUUAGAAAAAACUUUAAAUAUCUUUCUCGUAGUUUCGCACUUUGUCACUUUACUAUCAUGUGAUUUCAAGUGUAUCAAGUUAAUACUCUGUAGUUUCGCACUUUUUCACUUUAGUACCCUGUGAUUUCAAGUGUAUCAAGUUAGUAUCCUGUGGUUUCGUAACUUUCUCACUUUAGUACCAUGUGAUUUAAUAUUUUGUUAAAUUAUAUAUCCCGAAAUGAAUAAUAAAAAAAAAAAAUUAAAACCACAGAAUACUAGCUUGAUAUAAAAAUAAAAUUACAGGGUACUAACUUGAUACACUUGAAACCGCAGGAUACUAAAGUGAGAAAGUAUGAAACCACAUGAUACUAACUUGAUAUACUUAAAAUCACAUGAUACUAAAGUGAAAAAGUGCGAAACCAUAGGGUAUUAAGAAUUUUCCCUUUUUUUAUUUUGAAAAAAUACAUAUAGAUCCUUUUGGCUACAAUAUCCAAACUUUAAUAAAUUAAAUAAUUUUUUAUACAUUUUAGAUAUAUUUUAAUUUUGAGAUAAUAUGUACAAUACCAAAAUCUUUAGCAUUUUGGCGAAUAGGUAUGUGAAGUUUUUAUUUUUAUAAUAAAUUUUUAUUGGGGAAAACUUCAAAAACCCCCCCUGUGGUUUCGUGCAUUCUCACUUUGCUACCUUGUGGUUUAAAACGUAUCAAUUUAUCCCCCUGUGGUUUCAUUUUUAUCUUUUCGGAAGCUUUUUCGUUAAUAUUUCGUUAAAUUAUAUACAAAAAACUUCAGAUAACCAUCUAUAUUUAUCGAAUAGUCACUUUAGUAUCCUUUAAUUUUAACUUUGUCACUGAUUUUAAAAAAAAAUAAUAAUACAAUUGAUAACAAAAAGAUAAAAACGAAACCAUAGGGGGGCAAAUUGAUAAGAUAAAAACGAAACCAUAGGGGGGCAAAUUGAUACGUUUUAAACCACAGGGUAGCAAAGUGAGAAUGUACGAAACCACAAGGGGGGUUUUUGAAGUU